This 516-nucleotide unclassified non-coding RNA is filed under the name uncultured Glomeromycotina. Its description in RNAcentral is "SSU rRNA". It matches the Rfam family "Eukaryotic small subunit ribosomal RNA", at positions 591 to 1113 of the family's 1831-position model. Lineage: Eukaryota; Fungi; Glomeromycota. The record is from RNAcentral.
CCAAUAGCGUAUAUUAAAGUUGUUGUGGUUAAAAAGCUCGUAGUUGAACCUUGGGCCUGGCUGGCCGGUCCGCCUCACCGCGUGUACUGGUCCGGCCGGGCCUUUCCCUCUGUGGAACCUCAUGCCCUUCACUGGGUGUGGCGGGGAAACAGGACUUUUACUUUGAAAAAAUUAGAGUGCUCCAGGCAGGCCUAUGCUCGAAUACAUUAGCAUGGAAUAAUAAAAUAGGACGUGUGGUUCUAUUUUGUUGGUUUCUAGGACCGCCGUAAUGAUUAAUAGGGACAGUCGGGGGCAUCAGUAUUCAAUUGUCAGAGGUGAAAUUCUUGGAUUUAUUGAAGACUAACUACUGCGAAAGCAUUUGCCAAGGAUGUUUUCAUUAAUCAGGAACGAAAGUUAGGGGAUCGAAGACGAUCAGAUACCGUCGUAGUCUUAACCAUAAACUAUGCCGACUAGGGAUCGGACGAUGUUAUUUUUUGACGCGUUCGGCACCUUACGAGAAACCAAAGUGUUUGGGUC